AUGCCGCCUCGCCGCCGGGGAGCUUCGGGCUACCGCGGCGUCCGCGUGCGUCCGUCCGGCACAAACUCCGCCGAGAUUCGGCCGGGCGGCGUGCGCCUCGGCCUCGGAACCUUCGACACCGCCCAGGAUGGCGCCCGCGCAUACGACGCUGCGGCGUGGCGCCUCCGGCGGUCCCGUUGGGACAUGAACUUCACGGACGUGGCGAAGCGGGAGCGGGCACAGGAGUUGGCGCCUCCCCUGCGGCUUAUCACCGACGAGGAUCAUCGCAAGAACCGGAGACGGGAGCGCCGUCUCAGCCUGGCCGAGAUGGACAAGGAAGCCAUGGAUCUGUGGCGCCAACGCUUCCCGCAAGACAUCAUCAACGAUGAACAGUUCAUAGCCGAGAGGAGGACGGAGAGGAAGGAGAGGAGGGAGGAGCGAGCCGCCUAUCGCGAGGACAAGCGAACGCGGAAGGAGAUGCGUCGUCCUGGGACUCCAGCGACGAGCGGUUUCUUGACGCCUACGCUCAGACGUCGGAGGAGGACAUCACCGAGGCAGAGUCCGAGUCGAAGAAUGAUGAGUAGUAGUAGUUUUUCGUUUUUUUAUCUAUCAUAG
This 594-nucleotide ribosomal RNA is filed under the name Triticum aestivum (bread wheat). RNAcentral's name for it is "partial small subunit ribosomal RNA". Lineage: Eukaryota; Viridiplantae; Streptophyta; Magnoliopsida; Poales; Poaceae. The record is from RNAcentral.